AUACGUAGGUGGCAAGCGUUAUCCGGAUUUAUUGGGCGUAAAGCGAGCGCAGGCGGUCUUUUAAGUCUAAUGUGAAAGCCUUCGGCUCAACCGAAGAAGUGCAUUGGAAACUGGGAGACUUGAGUGCAGAAGAGGACAGUGGAACUCCAUGUGUAGCGGUGAAAUGCGUAGAUAUAUGGAAGAACACCAGUGGCGAAGGCGGCUGUCUGGUCUGUAACUGACGCUGAGGCUCGAAAGCAUGGGUAGCGAACAGGAUUAGAUACCCUGGUAGUCCAUGCCGUAAACGAUGAUUACUAAGUGUUGGAGGGUUUCCGCCCUUCAGUGCUGCAGCUAACGCAUUAAGUAAUCCGCCUGGGGAGUACGACCGCAAGGUUGAA
This 377-nucleotide ribosomal RNA is filed under the name uncultured bacterium. RNAcentral describes it as "bacterial SSU rRNA". It matches the Rfam family "Bacterial small subunit ribosomal RNA", at positions 523 to 898 of the family's 1533-position model. The record is from RNAcentral. RNAcentral also lists the same sequence under 1 other name.